Molecule: ribosomal RNA, 301 nt
Filed under: uncultured bacterium
Lineage: Bacteria
Description: partial 16S ribosomal RNA
Rfam family: Bacterial small subunit ribosomal RNA
Source: RNAcentral
CAGCCGCCACGGUAAAACGUAGGUGGCAAGCGUUGUCCGGAAUUAUUGGGCGUAAAGCGCGCGCAGGCGGAUAGGUCAGUCUGUCUUAAAAGUUCGGGGCUUAACCCCGUGAUGGGAUGGAAACUGCCAAUCUAGAGUAUCGGAGAGGAAAGUGGAAUUCCUAGUGUAGCGGUGAAAUGCGCAGAUAUUAGGAAGAACACCAGUGGCGAAGGCGACUUUCCGGACGAAAACUGACGCUGAGGCGCGAAAGCCAGGGGAGCGAACGGGAUUAGAUACCCCCGUAGUCCCUGUCUCUUAUACC